This 72-nucleotide transfer RNA is filed under the name Planctomycetaceae bacterium. RNAcentral's name for it is "tRNA-Thr". It matches the Rfam family "tRNA". From Rfam's summary of the family: Transfer RNA (tRNA) molecules are approximately 80 nucleotides in length. Their secondary structure includes four short double-helical elements and three loops (D, anti-codon, and T loops). The record is from RNAcentral. Lineage: Bacteria; Pseudomonadati; Planctomycetota; Planctomycetia; Planctomycetales; Planctomycetaceae.
GCCGACGUGGCCGAACAGCGAGGCGCCGGUUUUGUAAACCGGUCGAUGCUGGUGCAAGUCCAGUCGUCGGCU